Molecule: unclassified non-coding RNA, 441 nt
Filed under: uncultured fungus
Lineage: Eukaryota; Fungi
Description: sequence contains ITS2
Rfam family: 5.8S ribosomal RNA (bases 1-156)
Source: RNAcentral
AACUUUUGGCAAUGGAUCACUCGGCUCGCAGGUCGAUGAAGAACGCAGCAAGUUGCGUUACACGGUGUGAAUUGCAGGACACGCCGAGCACUAGAUUUUCGAACGCAUAUUGCGGCUUCGAGUAAACUACUCGGAGCCACGUCUGUCUGAGGGUCGGAAGAAAUUCUUACCUAUGGUGAUGGUCCGUGUGAGGUGAGCCCCUAAGCGGUGACUUUGCCGGACUCAAGACGCACGUUGCAAGCCAAUUCCGAUGCGAUUGUCGUUGCUAGCGCGGCCCCACGGGUGUUGUGCACGGCGGCGGCGAUACGUAUCGGGUUAACGGAAGCGACAGUGUUACGCAAAAUAAGCGAGAGGGUCUCGGCCCCUCGCGGUUGACUUAAUGUCGACCUCAGAUCAGACGAGAUUACCCGCUGAAUUUAAGCAUAUCAAUAAGCUGAGGCU